GCGGCGGAUAGCAGCUGAAUCUGGCGGAAUCUUGCGACUUUCCGGUGGAGUCGAUGAAUGCCAACCAUAGGUGAUGCAGAAGAAUGAGCAAAAAAGACAGCAUUGCAACAAAGUAUGAAAAAAAAAAAAGAGGCAACAUUAUAACGAAACACGAACACCAAAUUAAUGAGCUAGCUUGACUAGAAAAGUUGAGCUUGGAAGAAGAAGUGCUAAAGUAGAGUUGACAUGGGGACUUCAUAUCUUGGGAUUUGUGUUGAUAUCUGAGCUUGUAUCUGUAACAUAUUGCAACAUAGUUUAUAUGUAGAAAUGUAAAGCAAUUCUCAUGUAAUUGAAUUUUUUUAUUGAGAAAAAUUAUCUUGACCUUUCCGGUA
Molecule: long non-coding RNA, 371 nt
Organism: Neltuma alba
Lineage: Eukaryota; Viridiplantae; Streptophyta; Magnoliopsida; Fabales; Fabaceae
Exons: 2
Source: RefSeq, a predicted model, not a curated record